This 486-nucleotide ribosomal RNA is filed under the name uncultured bacterium. Its description in RNAcentral is "partial 16S ribosomal RNA". It matches the Rfam family "Bacterial small subunit ribosomal RNA", at positions 30 to 507 of the family's 1533-position model. The record is from RNAcentral.
AUUGAACGCUGGCGGCAUGCCUUACACAUGCAAGUCGAACGGCAGCACGGGUGCUUGCACCUGGUGGCGAGUGGCGAACGGGUGAGUAAUACAUCGGAACAUGUCCUGUAGUGGGGGAUAGCCCGGCGAAAGCCGGAUUAAUACCGCAUACGAUCCACGGAUGAAAGCGGGGGACCUUCGGGCCUCGCGCUAUAGGGUUGGCCGAUGGCUGAUUAGCUAGUUGGUGGGGUAAAGGCCUACCAAGGCGACGAUCAGUAGCUGGUCUGAGAGGACGACCAGCCACACUGGAACUGAGACACGGCCCAGACUCCUACGGGAGGCAGCAGUGGGGAAUUUUGGACAAUGGGCGAAAGCCUGAUCCAGCAAUGCCGCGUGUGUGAAGAAGGCCUUCGGGUUGUAAAGCACUUUUGUCCGGAAAGAAAUAAUUGGCUCUAAUACAGGCGGGGGAUGACGGUACCGGAAGAAUAAGCACCGGCUAACUACGUG